This 453-nucleotide ribosomal RNA is filed under the name Kruptus linnaei. RNAcentral describes it as "partial 16S ribosomal RNA". It matches the Rfam family "Bacterial large subunit ribosomal RNA", at positions 1916 to 2610 of the family's 2925-position model. Lineage: Eukaryota; Metazoa; Arthropoda; Malacostraca; Amphipoda; Paramelitidae. The record is from RNAcentral.
ACUGCCCAUGAUUGAAGGUGGUAUUUUGACUGUGCUAAGGUAGCAUAAUAAUUUGCUCUUUAAUUGGGAGCUGGGAUGAAAGAUUUAAUACUUUUUAUAAGUCUCAGCUACUUAGUGAUAAUUUAUAUUACGAGUAAGAAUACUUGUAUGUAAUAAUGGGACGAUAAGACCCUAAAAGCUUUAGUAUAAUUGGAUAAUUUAAUUGUUGUUAUAAUUUUUGCUGGGGUAGUAUGUAAAUAAAGAUUUUUUAAAAAAUUUACCUAAUUUGGGAUUUUGGUCUUUUAUAUAAAGAUAGAUAGGUAAAGUUACUUUAGGGAUAACAGCAUAAUAGCUUUGGAAAGAUCAUAUUUAUAAAGUUGGUUAUGACCUCGAUGUUGAAUUAAAAGUUUCUAAGUGGGGCAGCAUAUACUAGAGAGGGUUUGUUCAACCUUUGAUUUUUUACGUGAUCUGAGU